Molecule: ribosomal RNA, 615 nt
Filed under: Triticum aestivum (bread wheat)
Lineage: Eukaryota; Viridiplantae; Streptophyta; Magnoliopsida; Poales; Poaceae
Description: partial small subunit ribosomal RNA
Source: RNAcentral
AUGUUGCUGAUGCACUGUCUCGUGUUCGUCAAGUGUAUACUAUUUCUGCCAUUUCCGUGUGUCAACCCAUUUGGAUGCAGGAGGUGCUCAACGCUUAUAAAACUGACUCUGUGGCCAUGGAGUUACUUGCACAGCUCGCUGUACAUAGUCCUGAUGCACAUUGGUCAUUCCCUGGACCAAGGACUGAUUCGCUACAAUGGUCGCCUCUGGAUACCCAACAACUCUGCCUUACAAACCAAAUUGAUUAGUGCGUUGCAUUCCAGCGCAGUUGGAGGUCAUUCUGGGGUCAGGGCUACCUACUGGCGGGUUUCCAACCUUUUUCAUUGGGUAGGACUGAAGAAACAGGUGGCGGACUGGGUUCGACAAUGCCAAGUUUGUCAGCAGGCAAAACAUGAAAGAACAGUGCCUGGUGGUCUGCUCCAACCCCUCCCAGUUCCUGACCGCCCAUGGAAAGACAUAACCAUGGAUUUCAUAGAUGGGUUACCCAAAUCAGAGGGAUUUGAGGUGAUUUUGGUGGUGGUCGAUCGUUUUACAAACCUACCACCCACAGACGGAUGGCCAAUCGGAGCGUGUAAACCAAUGCUUAGAGCAGUAUCUGCGGUGUGCUGUUCAUGA